RNAcentral lists this long non-coding RNA (1289 nucleotides) under Monodelphis domestica (gray short-tailed opossum). RNAcentral's name for it is "lncRNA (ENSMODG00000036485.1)". Lineage: Eukaryota; Metazoa; Chordata; Mammalia; Didelphimorphia; Didelphidae. The record is from RNAcentral.
AGUAGGGACUGUCUUUUUGGUUUUUAUUUGAAUAUCCACCUUGCUUAGCACAGUGCCUGGCACAUAGUAAGUUCAAAAUAAAUGUGUGUUUUCUUCCUUCAUCGUCACAUAGUAAGUGAUGAAUAAAUAUUCACUGAUUAAUUGUGUGAAGAGAGUCCGGGGAAAUUAAGAACCUGGCUUAAGAAGGAUGAAAAAGGAAUAACUGCGUACAUAAAGGACAACACAUGAAUUCCAGCUGAACGAGUGCGGCGGGUAUAGGGGUUGGGAGAUUCCAGGAAGAAAUGAGAAGAGAGGUAAUAGGGUUAGGAGAUGGAGAGUGUCGGAGAUGCUGAGAGAAUGAAGUCAGAAUGGAUGCCAGGGAGGAGCACAGCAUCUAGGACUGGCUCGGAGACCUGGAUACCUGGGAUAAAGGAUGACUUUGUGAUAGUUCAUACACUUCUCCAGCAGAUGCAGGACAAAUUUCAGACCAUGUCAGACCAGAUAAUUGGCCGAACUUGAUGAUAUGAGCAGUCGCAUUGAUGAUCUGGAGAAAAACAUCGCUGACCUUAUGACCCAAGCAGGAGUGGAAGAAAUAGAAGGGGAAAACAAAAUACCAACUACACGUAAUAGUUAAAGGUAAGGUUCAGUCUUAUAAAAUUUUGAAAUCUUUUAGUGGCUCAUUUUUCCCCUCAUUUGAUUUUGAUAGAUUCUUGGUGUUGAUUACUUUGAAGAAAUUCAAAUAUCAGAAAUUCUAAUAAGCUAUAACAUACUUUGAAAGAACAAUGGUUAAUUAACCAUUUACAAGGAUUUGUUUCAAGUCAUAGGGCACUUCUUUGCAAGCCCUACUUGUGACUACUCAUGUUGGUGUCACAGCCUUUGCAAACCAGAAAAUAAUUUACUGUUUUAGCUUCUUUCCCAUAGUUUUUAGCAUUUUAAUCUUCCUGGUAUCUGAAAUUUACUGACAGUGAUAGAAUUAUUGAAAAACCAAAAACAAAAAGAAUAUUAAAGCAUACCAUCAUGCCACCCAUUUGUGAUAAAUUCCGUGAUUAUAAAAUGCAGAGUAAUAGGAAUGAUCAGUGAAGUAGUUGUGGAAGGCAAAUAGUUACUUAAAUUAUUUUCAUCUUAAAAAUAAGUUUGCUCUGUAAUAAUGGCCACAUGUCUAAUUUGCCACUGUUGCCUCAUCUUUAGCAUGAAAUUAUUCCUUUAUUACCUAGGGAUAUUUUGGGGAAAUGAUUUAAUUCAUAAGUUUCUCUGACCUGAUUCUUCAUUGUUUAAAUAAAAGAAUUCCCAUCAAAUUAAUUGGAGUUUUC